UACGGGGGGGGCAAGCGUUGUUCGGAAUUACUGGGCGUAAAGGGCUCGUAGGUGGCCAACUAAGUCAGACGUGAAAUCCCUCAGCUUAACUGGGGAACUGCGUCUGAUACUGGAUGGCUUGAGUUUGGGAGAGGGAUGCGGAAUUCCAGGUGUAGCGGUGAAAUGCGUAGAUAUCAGGAGGAACACCGGUGGCGAAGGCGGCAUCCUGGACCGACAUUGACGCUGAGUGAGCGAAAGCUAGGGGAGCAAACGGG
RNAcentral lists this ribosomal RNA (254 nucleotides) under uncultured bacterium. RNAcentral's name for it is "partial 16S ribosomal RNA". It matches the Rfam family "Bacterial small subunit ribosomal RNA", at positions 524 to 776 of the family's 1533-position model. The record is from RNAcentral.